This 609-nucleotide ribosomal RNA is filed under the name Diderma niveum. Its description in RNAcentral is "bacterial SSU rRNA". It matches the Rfam family "Eukaryotic small subunit ribosomal RNA", at positions 1 to 557 of the family's 1831-position model. The record is from RNAcentral. Lineage: Eukaryota; Evosea; Eumycetozoa; Physariida; Didymiaceae.
AACCUGGUUGAUCCUGCCAGUAGUGUAUGCUUCUCCUAAAGACUAAGCCAUGCAUGCCUUCGAAUACGAGGAAGCAAUUCUCUCUGAAUCUGCGAACGGCUCCGCAAACCAGUUGUAAACCAAAGCAAGCAUACUCGGGGUUUGCCCUUCACGGGGUCGGCUACGGGUGAUACGGGUAACCCUGGUAAUUCUGAGGCUAAUACGAGAAUGUACUCCCUGGCUAACCGGGAAACUGGUAGGCUGGGGGGCGUGUGAUCUAUUUGCAAGACGAUUCCAGGAAGGGGUGCACGCUCUGACCGCGACAAAGACAGUUCUGACGGACCCUCACGGGCGAGUCGGUUCUGAGCGGCUCUUGCGAAGUGCUUCUGACCUAUCAACUAGACGGCAGCGUAACGGACAUGCCAUGGUUACAACGGGUACAGAGGAUUAGGGUUCGAUCCUGGAGAGUGGGCCUGAGAGAUUGCUCAUACUUCUAAGGAAGGCAGCAGGCGCGCAACGUUCCCCUUGGGCAAUGCCCGAGGGCGUUAGGGGACAUAUGAAUGGUGCCUUUAGGUGGCCAAUGGACUGUAUGACGUAGNNNNNNNNNNNUCGAGUAACAAUUAGAGGACA